RNAcentral lists this long non-coding RNA (1377 nucleotides) under Zea mays. Its description in RNAcentral is "long non-coding RNA (ZMAY_LNC004889)". Lineage: Eukaryota; Viridiplantae; Streptophyta; Magnoliopsida; Poales; Poaceae. The record is from RNAcentral.
GUUCUAAACUUGUAAAGUAAGACAAUGCAAAGUUGGAAACUUGAGUGGGUCUUCGAGAUUUUUUUGUGAAAACUAUUGUUAAGGAAAUUUGAGUGGGUCUUUGAGAUUUAUUGUGAAAACUAUUGUUAAGGAUAUUAUACAAUAAAAUUAAAUAAUAAAAAAUCACCAUUAAGGAAAUUAGACAACAAGCUCCAACAAUUUUUUAGCCGAACAUUUUAUUGACGUUGUAACAUCCUUCUAAUGAACGCAGAACAUUUUUCUUGUGAAACCAGAACUUAUUUUAUGUAGAGGAUACAUAAAUUUCGUAAACCCCAUGGAGAUGUACGCUUACAUUUUAUGAUACAAAGACAUCGCUUAUACAAUUGAGAUCAAUCUCAUCCAACGACUUCUUUUUGAUACAUAGAAUCGUCAAACCAUUAACCUCUCUUGAGUCAUUGUUGACCUUAAAUAGUUCACAAAAAUAUUUCAAUUUUAAAAAGCUUCUCUCUGUCGAUGUAAUCAUCAUGUGUAUAGUAAAUAAUACUCACUCUGUAUCAAAAUAGAAUUCGUUUUGCUUCUCUAAUGGAUUCAUCAUCAUUUGUUGAAUAUAGACAUAAAAAUGAAGAACUAAAACAAAUAUUGUUUUAGAACAGAGGGAGUAUUCGAUAGGUAAUUGAGAUAUUAGUUUAACAAUCUAAACGAAGUUGAUUGAUAGUGCGUCGCUCUUUGUAUAUUUAUAUCUAGGGUAAAUAGGUUUAACGGGAAAAGGUACUAGCGUAUAGUAGAUAGGUGUCCCUCUGUCCUUGGGUGCCGGGUCUGUCUAUUUACUACACCUCGUUGAAUACUUAAAAAAAACGUGUCAUCUAGAGCGCUUGUGCGAAAUAGAAAGUCGAAAUAAAAAGAGCAUAGGAGCGCGUCUAUUAACAACAUCCGAUAAUUUGACAGCAAGGAGGUCUCCCCUGUACGCCAGGAUCUGCAAUGGAGACAGUGAAAAAUAGCCGGCCAAGAGCAUAACAUAAGCAGUGAUUAUACUGGUGUAAAUGGAGUGUGGUGGGCUACUUACUAUUGGGAUCGUUGGUAACCCCAUAAAUCAAUAAUGACAUGACCAAGAUCAGAAGAGGCAGCAGCCGCCGAGUCAGGAAACCGUAACCGUAUCUUUGCAUGUUUCCUUGUAGGCGCCGAGAGCUAGGGAUGACUAUGCUACGCCUAAAAUCAUAAAGAUUCCAGAGCCUAUUAAUAGCCGUUGCCCCGGCUGCUGCAACUGAACCCUUGACCCGGGAGGUUGUGAGAAAUCUGAUCCAGGUAGGAGGAUUAGUCUUUUACCGUGCAUUGUGUGUAAGUUUGACGAGUCUCCUUUGUGGUCUUAUCUCAGCUUUCAACUUCCUGAGCAUGGAUUUC